CCUACGGGACGCAGCAGUGGGGAAUAUUGCACAAUGGGGGAAACCCUGAUGCAGCGACGCCGCGUGAGUGAAGAAGGAUUUCGGCUCGUAAAGCUCUAUCAACAGGGAAGAAAGAAAUGACGGUACCUGAAUAAGAAGCCCCGGCUAACUACGUGCCAGCAGCCGCGGUAAUACGUAGGGGGCAAGCGUUAUCCGGAAUUACUGGGUGUAAAGGGUGAGUAGGCGGCUGAGUAAGUC
Molecule: ribosomal RNA, 237 nt
Filed under: uncultured bacterium
Lineage: Bacteria
Description: partial 16S ribosomal RNA
Rfam family: Bacterial small subunit ribosomal RNA
Source: RNAcentral